AUGAAGAUGCUGCAGGCCCUCGUCAUGGAACAGAAGGAAGAGUUGGCGAAGCUCCACAUUGAGCACCCAGCUGCUGUCAAGGUACGUAAUGCGGCCGUGGAACAGAUGAUGAAGGCUCGCCUCGAGAAAUCCCGCGUCAUGGACAGGAUGAAGAAGAUGGCAGAGGAGACACGCAAGGAGAUGGAGGUUGUGGAGGCAAUGAAGAAGCAGUUACGACUCCACGGCGAAUUAGAUCAUUUGGGGCCGCACCCUCUGUCACUUUCAUUCUACGAGCUGCAACCAAAAAAAAGGGAGAUGGAUCAGGAGCUGGAAGAGGUUACAGAGGAGGAGGGGGACGCCAUAGAUGUGAGGGCUGCAGUAGCGGAGCAGAGGAGGAGGAGGCAUAGGCGCAGGCAGAUGGUGCGACGUGCUGCCGAGGAGGAACUGGAGGCAGAGUUCAACAGACGGCUUGCGCAAAAUGUCACCCAGGAUGAGGAUUUUGCUCUUAGUUCCGGUGUUCUGAAGAUGGAGACUUCGGACAAGAAUGGGUACCAGUUGAUGGAUGUUGCCUACCACAUCGACUUUGAUGGUUGCAUCAACCUAACUACUGGGUGGAAGGAGUUUGCGGCUGAGUCUGGAUUUGAGGAUGGUGAUGUGGUUAUGGUUAUGUUAUUGAGAGAAGAUGACUCUCUGACGUUCAGAAUUUAUGUGCUUACUGGAACAAUUUCUAUAGUUGAACUGAUGGGCAUCCUUCGUUAUGACUGAUCUGGUUCGGCAGAUUUUAGGACUGUACAAUGGGUAGAUCAUCUAGUCCGGACAAAUGGAAUGCAGUCAGUGAAGAACUAUUAUGGUGUUGAAAGAGUUGUGUUUUCUGAAGUUUGUUCUGCAAGUGAUGUUGGAGUGCCGGUGCCUCCUGAUUCUGACAAAUCAGAAUGCUUUCAAGAUCUUGUGAAUGUUAUUUUUGAGACACCAAAUCCUCUAGAAGAACUUGCGAAUGUUGCUGUUAAUGACAUCCAUGGUGUUCUAGAGGACAUUGCUGAUGUUGUUAAAGAUAUUAAUGAUGGAAUGUAUUCACUUAACGUUGAUGAUGGUGAUGGCAGCUUGCAGUUGUCUGUUACUCAGUCUCAAAGUGUUGAUGGCACUGAGCCUGUUACCCAAGCUGAGGAUGUUCCUAUGCAGGUUCAUGCAUCUGGUUUUGGUUCUAUCUUCAAGUGGAGGGUGAAGUCUAACAUUUCCCGCCCUCUGAUGGGAGUUUUGUACCUGAGGAUAGGUUGUGAUACAAUGACUCUUGACAUGGGUGAGGCUAAUAAGAAGCUUCGCAUCACUAGCGAUGGUAUACAACAAUUAUUUGGUUUCCCUCGUGGUGGUCGUUCUGCGACAAGGCCGUCAGAGGACGGAUAUGACGACGCUCUGAUGAAGUUAAGAUCGGAGCUUGACAUUAGCAGGGACAAAGAUAUCAAGACAAAAGAUUUGAGGAAUAAGCUCAAGGUGCUCGUCAAGCAUCCUAGCAAAGAUGACCUUGCUCUAAAAGUGUUCUUCAUGAUUGUGUUUAUGAAGGUUGUGUUGCCUGGUUCUGCCCCGCGUGUUUCCAGAGAGGCAGCAAUGUUUGAGGGUCUCAUCUUUGAGGACAUGGCUAAUAUGGAUUAUUGCCAGCUGAUGGUUGAUGAGCUUACAAGGGCUGUUGCCAUGUACCAAAAUGGUGAUACCUUGGGGAAGGCAAUCACAGGCUGUGCCAUAGGGCCUGUACUAAUGUACCUUGACUGCCUUAUCCGUCGCAAGACUGCGGAGCCUGACAUGCGAGUCCCCCGCAUAUGUUACAUGGAUCCUGCCAAGCUUUCUGAUCUGGUUGAUGCAAAUUUGAUAAAAAAAGGCAAUGCAGAUCCAAAGACUUGGGUGUUUCGGAACCUUCCGUGGAAAACUCAAGAGGAGGUUGUUUUUUUCCUAGUGUAUAAACGGCCAGUCCUGGAGAUGCCGUCGUCACAGGUUCCGAAGUUUUCAUCUCUGCCCGAUGAGUUGAGGGAUGGCCGUGGUGUUGAGGGUGUUGGUUAUGCCCCCCUGGCCCUAGUAAUGAUAGUGCUUCACAGAGGCAUGGUUUUGGUCCCAAUAACAGUUGAGUGUUUGAGUUGUAUCAAUGGUAUCCUUCCUGAAGGUCAUCAAUUUAACACUGAGGAAGCUGUUGACUACAUUGAGAUGGAGAGAAUUUUAAUCGUUGAUAUGCGUGACGGUGCCGCUAAUCUAGUUCAGAGCUUGUUUGAGCAUGAUGAGGCUGCUGCCACCGACAGCAAGGCUGGUGAUGUUACUGAGGCUUAUGUUUUUGAUCACGAAACGAAUGAUGUUGGCUUUGAGCGUCCUGAUGUUGAUAUUCAUCACGAUGAGGGUGCUGGCACCGACAGCAGGGCUGAUGAUGGUACUGAGGCUAAUGUUUCUGAUCAGCGUACGAACGAUGUUGGCUCGCAGCACCCUGUUGUUGAUAUGAAGACCAGUCAUAACGUUGAGGUUGUUGUUGACAGUGGAGUUAAUGAUCCAUCCAAUGAUAAGUGCAAGGGUCCUAUUGUUGGCAAUGAGCCUUGUUUGCCCGUUGGUGAUGUUGCUUUGAAUGUUAGCAGCAGCAAGAUCGAUGUUGUUGCUGUGAAUGCUUCCAAGAUUACUGAUGUUGAGCGUGAGGUUGUCCUUAGUGGUGGAGAUGAUGCUCGUGAUGUUCCAUUGAGUAGUGGGCGCAAUGUUGAUACCAAAGUUGCUGAUGAGGAUGCUGGUGCUGCCAGCAUACUUGAUGCCAAAUCGCCGGGUGUUGGUAUUGCUGGGAAUGAAAAUGUUUCUGGUUGUGAAGAUUUGCCGCCGGAGAAUUUCCCGCCUAGAGAUGUCCCAUCGUCAAACCCUGAAACUGAAGGCAUAAUGGUCUCAGCACAGGAACUACCGUCGUCGUCAAACCCUGAUAGUCCAGAAAGUGGUAAUGUUGUUAAGGUUGAUACGUUUUUCUUCGCUGUUACGAGGUUGCGCACGAACCGUAUGAAAUGUCACAAGCCGAUGUUUCAAAAUAAAGAAUGUGAUGCCACUGUUGGUUCUAUUGCUAAAGCGUUUGUCCCCACUGGCAUGCUCAACUCAGACAGUGCUGAUGUUGUUUUAUAUUCUCUACAUCAGAAGUACCGAGACACUGACAAGUUGAUAGUUCCCAGAUGGGUGAUGACCAAGAUCCAUGAUGGAAAUAUUGAUUCCAAUGUGCUAAAUUGGUUCAGGAGAUCAGGUGCUGAUGGUUUUGACCAACUUCUUUUCCCUACAUUUGAUCUGCCGUCAUUUGUGGCUACCAUGAAGCCUAGUGAAGAAUCUGAGCAUUGGUGCUUGGUUGUUCUGAAUUUGAAGUUCCGUCGUUUCGAGUGUCUUGAUUCACUCCGUGAUGAAACCUGGGGUGAUGCAGUUAGAUUCUUAAGGAAUAUGACAGAUAAUAUAAAGAAGCUUUGGAGGGAGUCCAGUGUAGACAGGGCCAAACCGUUCUCACCGGCGCAUAUUGAUGGUUUCUCUUGCGAGUUUGUGCGGGUGCCUCAGCAGGAAAACACCCAUGAAGACAUUUUGGACAUUAGGAAGACUUUGCUGUGUACCUGCGCAACUAGCGAUGUGUUUGAUGUUGACUUCCGGGGUGAGUGGCCGGGUCUUGGUGAGUAUGACUACAGGUUCUUUGGUAGCCAGUUCUCGAAGCUCGAGUGCGUAGCUAUUGAUCUUGACCAGGGGCGUUCUCCCGAAAAGACAAGAUCUGGUGUUAUGAAGGGGCGGUUGGAAGCUCUGAGAGGUUCUACGGCUGCUUGUGCAGAUAGUCCUACUACACCCAAGAAUCCCAUUGUGGAAUUGAUAGACAGUGAUGAUGAUGUGUUUGACAAGAUUGCUGGCAUUGGAAGAGUCACAUGGAGCGCUGCUGCCAAAGUUUUUGCACCUGGGAAAAUGAUGGAGGGUGAUGUAAUGGACUUCCUCAUUGAUGAUUGGAAGCAAGAUCCCUAUAGAAAUGUUGAUUUCGCAUCUGGGAAAAGGAUAUUGCUGAGUCCAUAUUUCAUCACGGUUGUGCUUGACUUUUCGUUUUACGAGGAUGAAAAUAAAGUGUUUAAUGUGGAGGGUGCAGCGAGAGAUUUCAAGAGCUAUGUUAAAGCUAAUGAAGACUUGCUCAGUUCCGACCUUAUCAUGAUGCCUCUAUUCAAGCCUAUGGUUUUAUCAAAGGAUAGGAAAGUGAACCACUAUUCCUUAUAUGUCAUGAAUCGGUACCGAAGUAGCGUUGACAUCCUUGACUCUUUAUCUUAUCCGAAGAACCACCUUCCUUCGAAGAACACCUAUCAGAAAGACUGCGAGAAGAUUGGUGAUGCUCAGUACAAUGCGAGCAAGCAGCCCAAUUGGGAGCUGUUUGCAAAGAAAGCAACGUUUGUCAAGGUUCCACUUCAAGGGAAAAAUGAAUGUGGCCAUUAUACUUUGAAAGUUGUGUUCAACCGGAAUAACAAUCUUCUGGUGACGGAGCUUCCCAAGGAGGUUCAGGCUUUGGCUCCUGAUGCAUAG
Molecule: ribosomal RNA, 4509 nt
Filed under: Triticum aestivum (bread wheat)
Lineage: Eukaryota; Viridiplantae; Streptophyta; Magnoliopsida; Poales; Poaceae
Description: partial small subunit ribosomal RNA
Source: RNAcentral